Molecule: non-coding RNA, 114 nt
Organism: Acanthosepion pharaonis
Lineage: Eukaryota; Metazoa; Mollusca; Cephalopoda; Sepiida; Sepiidae
Source: the annotation of a GenBank genome assembly
UUACGACCACAUCAUGUAGAAACACCGGUUUCCAUAUGAUCACCAAAGUUAAGCAACGUCGAACCCGGUCAAUGCCUAGAUGGAUGACCGCUUGGGAAUAGUAGGUGCUGUAAG